GCGGAGCCUGGUAACAUCGGCUUGAAAGUCGAGCGAUGGCCAGUAAAGUGGUUGGACUGUGGUUUGGGAUUCUUCUUGGGUGGGUUGCCACGUUUCUAACGCUGCGACUUCUCCAAGCCAGGAGUUGGUCAGAUUUGCCUUGCAGAAAGGCCUAAGGGCUUGGUAGACUGGAUCUUAUCGUGGAGGGUUUAUCUAGUCGAACGGCUUGGUGGACUGGAUCCUUUUGAGGAGGGAAACGAGUGAUCUGCUUCACCGAGCAACGACUUCCCCUGGGUAGUGGAAGGAUAACGCAUAGGGUCAUGGAUUUUCCCAAUCAAACCCUUUGAGUUUCAUUUCUACAUGGACGACCAAUUUU
This 355-nucleotide non-coding RNA is filed under the name Amborella trichopoda. The record is from RNAcentral. Lineage: Eukaryota; Viridiplantae; Streptophyta; Magnoliopsida; Amborellales; Amborellaceae.